AUACGGGAGGCAGCAGUAAGGAAUAUUGGUCAAUGGACGAAAGUCUGAACCAGCCAUGCCGCGUGAAGGAUGAAGGCCCUCUGGGUUGUAAACUUCUUUUAUCUGGGACGAAAAAAGCUCAUUCUUGAGCACUUGACGGUACCAGAGGAAUAAGCACCGGCUAACUCCGUGCCAGCAGCCGCGGUAAUACGGAGGGUGCAAGCGUUAUCCGGAUUCACUGGGUUUAAAGGGUGCGUAGGUGGGUCUGUAAGUCAGUGGUGAAAUCUCCGAGCUUAACUCGGAAACUGCCAUUGAUACUAUAGGUCUUGAAUCAUCUGGAGGUAAGCGGAAUAUGUCAUGUAGCGGUGAAAUGCUUAGAUAUGACAUAGAACACCAAUUGCGAAGGCAGCUUACUACGGGUGUAUUGACACUGAGGCACGAAAGCGUGGGGAUCAAACAGGAUUAGAUACCCUGGU
RNAcentral lists this ribosomal RNA (455 nucleotides) under uncultured bacterium. RNAcentral's name for it is "bacterial SSU rRNA". It matches the Rfam family "Bacterial small subunit ribosomal RNA", at positions 339 to 791 of the family's 1533-position model. The record is from RNAcentral.